This 290-nucleotide ribosomal RNA is filed under the name uncultured bacterium. RNAcentral's name for it is "partial 16S ribosomal RNA". It matches the Rfam family "Bacterial small subunit ribosomal RNA", at positions 1215 to 1504 of the family's 1533-position model. The record is from RNAcentral.
UACACACGUCAUACAAUGGCCGGUACAGAGGGCUGCCAACCCGCGAGGGGGAGCCAAUCCCAGAAAACCGGUCGUAGUCCGGAUCGCAGUCUGCAACUCGACUGCGUGAAGUCGGAAUCGCUAGUAAUCGCGGAUCAGCUUGCCGCGGUGAAUACGUUCCCGGGUCUUGUACACACCGCCCGUCACACCAUGGGAGCGGGUUCUGCCAGAAGUAGUUAGCCUAACCGCAAGGAGGGCGAUUACCACGGCAGGGUUCGUGACUGGGGUGAAGUCGUAACAAGGUAACCGUA